AUGGUGAAGCCGCGAAUGGCUCAUUACAACAGCCACUGUUUACUUGAUCUUGAUUAUCCUACUUGGAUAACUGUGGUAAUUCUAGAGCUAAUACACGCAAUAAAGCUCCGACCUUACGGGACGAGCGCAUUUAUUAGACCAAAACCAAUCGGGCCUCGGCCUGAACGGUGGUGACUCUGAAUAACUGAGCUGAUCGCAUGGUCUUUGUACCGGCGACGCAUCUUUCAAGUGUCUGCCUUAUCAACUUUCGAUGGUAGUUUAUGUGCCUACCAUGGUUGUUACGGGUAACGGAGAAUAAGGGUUCGACUCCGGAGAGGGAGCCUGAGAAACGGCUACCACAUCCAAGGAAGGCAGCAGGCGCGCAAAUUACCCACUCUCGGCACGAGGAGGUAGUGACGAAAAAUAACGAGGCGGUUCUCUAAGAGGCCCGCUAUCGGAAUGGGUACAAUUUAAACCCUUUAACGAGGACCUAUGAGAGGGCAAGUCUGGUGCCAGCAGCCGCGGUAAUUCCAGCUCUCAAGGUGUAUA
RNAcentral lists this ribosomal RNA (528 nucleotides) under unidentified nematode Sourhope farm. RNAcentral's name for it is "SSU rRNA". It matches the Rfam family "Eukaryotic small subunit ribosomal RNA", at positions 78 to 603 of the family's 1831-position model. Lineage: Eukaryota; Metazoa; Nematoda. The record is from RNAcentral.